Molecule: ribosomal RNA, 142 nt
Filed under: Pteropus alecto (black flying fox)
Lineage: Eukaryota; Metazoa; Chordata; Mammalia; Chiroptera; Pteropodidae
Source: RNAcentral
GUCUACAGCCACGCCACCCUGAACAUGCCUGAUCUCGUCUAUCUCGGAAGAUAAGCAGGAAGAUAAGCAGGAAGAUAAGCAGGGUCAGGCCUGGCUGGUAGCUGGAUGGGAGACCACCUAGGAAGACCAGAUGCUGUGGGCA